This 413-nucleotide ribosomal RNA is filed under the name Bacillus sp. (in: firmicutes). RNAcentral's name for it is "bacterial SSU rRNA". It matches the Rfam family "Bacterial small subunit ribosomal RNA", at positions 132 to 525 of the family's 1533-position model. Lineage: Bacteria; Bacillati; Bacillota; Bacilli; Caryophanales; Bacillaceae. The record is from RNAcentral.
AUAAGACUGGGAUAACUCCGGGAAACCGGGGCUAAUACCGGAUAACAUUUUGAACCGCAUGGUUCGAAAUUGAAAGGCGGCUUCGGCUGUCACUUAUGGAUGGACCCGCGUCGCAUUAGCUAGUUGGUGAGGUAACGGCUCACCAAGGCAACGAUGCGUAGCCGACCUGAGAGGGUGAUCGGCCACACUGGGACUGAGACACGGCCCAGACUCCUACGGGAGGCAGCAGUAGGGAAUCUUCCGCAAUGGACGAAAGUCUGACGGAGCAACGCCGCGUGAGUGAUGAAGGCUUUCGGGUCGUAAAACUCUGUUGUUAGGGAAGAACAAGUGCUAGUUGAAUAAGCUGGCACCUUGACGGUACCUAACCAGAAAGCCACGGCUAACUACGUGCCACCCCCCCCCGGGUAAAAAAA